RNAcentral lists this ribosomal RNA (468 nucleotides) under uncultured bacterium. Its description in RNAcentral is "partial 16S ribosomal RNA". It matches the Rfam family "Bacterial small subunit ribosomal RNA", at positions 28 to 507 of the family's 1533-position model. The record is from RNAcentral.
GACGAACGCUGGCGGCGUGCUUAACACAUGCAAGUCGAACGGUGAAGCUCCAGCUUGCUGGAGUGGAUCAGUGGCGAACGGGUGAGUAACACGUGAGCAACCUGCCCCAGACUCUGGAAUAAGCGCUGGAAACGGCGUCUAAUACUGGAUACGAGAUCAAGCCGCAUGGUUAUGGUCUGGAAAGUUUUUCGGUUUGGGAUGGGCUCGCGGCCUAUCAGCUUGUUGGUGAGGUAAUGGCUCACCAAGGCGACGACGGGUAGCCGGCCUGGGAGGGCGACCGGCCACACUGGGACUGAGACACGGCCCAGACUCCUACGGGAGGCAGCAGUGGGGAAUAUUGCACAAUGGGCGAAAGCCUGAUGCAGCGACGCCGCGUGAGGGAUGACGGCCUUCGGGUUGUAAACCUCUUUCAGCAGGGAAGAAGCGAAAGUGACGGUACCUGCAGAAGAAGCACCGGCUAACUACGUG